GACGAACGCUGGCGGCGUGCCUAAUACAUGCCAGUCGAGCGGACGGAUGGGACCUUGCUCCCAGACCGUCAGCGGCGGGGGGGGGAGUAACUCGUAGGCAACCUGCCUGUAAGACUGGGAGAACUCCGGGAAACCGGGGUAAAUACCGGGUAACGCUUUCCCUCACAUGAGGGAAUGCGGAAAGAUGGCAUCUCGCUAUCACUUACAGAUGGGCCCGCGUCGCAUUAGCUAGUUGGUGGGGUAAAGGCUCACCAAGGCGACGAUGCGUAGCGGACCUGAGAGGAUGAUCGGCCACACUGGAACUGAGACACGGCCCAGACUCCUACGGGAGGCAGCAGUAGGGAAUAUUGCGCAAUGGGCGAAAGCCUGAUGGAGCAACGCCGCGUGAGUGAUGAAGGUCUUCGGAUCGUAAAGCACUGUUGUUAGGGAAGAACGAGUGUCGGUGUAAAUGCCGGUGUCUUGACGGUACCUGCCGAGAAAGCAACGGCUAACUACGUG
RNAcentral lists this ribosomal RNA (498 nucleotides) under uncultured bacterium. Its description in RNAcentral is "partial 16S ribosomal RNA". It matches the Rfam family "Bacterial small subunit ribosomal RNA", at positions 28 to 507 of the family's 1533-position model. The record is from RNAcentral.